Molecule: small RNA, 28 nt
Filed under: Bombyx mori (domestic silkworm)
Lineage: Eukaryota; Metazoa; Arthropoda; Insecta; Lepidoptera; Bombycidae
Description: ovarian small RNA-10346
Source: RNAcentral
AACCGUUGUCCUGAUGCGAAAUUGUUGC